CAGUCGCCGCGGUAAUACGUAGGGUGCGAGCGUUAAUCGGAAUUACUGGGCGUAAAGCGCACGUAGGCGGCUUGGUAAGUUAGAGGUGAAAGCCCGGAGCUCAACUCCGGAAUUGCCUUUAAGACUGCCGAGCUAGUAGGUGAGAGAGGUAAGUGGAAUUCCGAGUGUAGAGGUGAAAUUCGUAGAUAUUCGGAAGAACACCAGUGGCGAAGGCGGCUUACUGGCUCAUUCUAGACGCUGAGGUGCGAAAGCGUGGGGAGCAAACAGGAUUAGAUACCCCCGUAGUCCCUGUCUCUUAUAC
RNAcentral lists this ribosomal RNA (301 nucleotides) under uncultured bacterium. Its description in RNAcentral is "partial 16S ribosomal RNA". It matches the Rfam family "Bacterial small subunit ribosomal RNA", at positions 509 to 807 of the family's 1533-position model. The record is from RNAcentral.